AGUGAAUAGAUACCCCGGUAGUCCUAGCCGUAAACGAUACUCGCUAGGUGUCGGCCACGGUGCGACCGUUGUCGGUGCCGUAGGGAAAGCCGUGAAGCGAGCCACCUGGGAAGUACGGCCGCAAGGCUGAAACUUAAAGGAAUUGGCGGGGGAGCACCACAACGGGUGGAGCUUGCGGUUUAAUUGGAUUCAACGCCGGAAAUCUUACCGGGACCGACAGCGAUAUGAAGGCCAGGCUGAAGACUUUGCCGGAUUAGCUGAGAGGUGGUGCAUGGCCGUCGUCAGUUCGUACUGUGAAAGCAUCCUGUUAAGUCAGGCAACGAGCGAGACCCACGCCCACAGUUGCCAGCGUACUCUCCGGAGUGACGGGUACACUGUGGGGACCGCCGCUGCUAAAGCGGAGGAAGGAAUGGGCAACGGUAGGUCAGUAUGCCCCGAAUAUCCCGGGCUACACGCGAGCUACAAUGGUUGGUACAAUGGGUAUCUACCCCGAAAGGGGAUGGUAAUCUCCUAAAGCCAAUCUUAGUUCGGAUUGAGGGCUGCAACUCGCCCUC
RNAcentral lists this ribosomal RNA (554 nucleotides) under uncultured bacterium. Its description in RNAcentral is "bacterial SSU rRNA". It matches the Rfam family "Archaeal small subunit ribosomal RNA", at positions 724 to 1275 of the family's 1478-position model. The record is from RNAcentral.